CCUACGGGGGGCAGCAGUGAGGAAUAUUGGUCAAUGGACGAGAGUCUGAACCAGCCAAGUAGCGUGAAGGAUGACUGCCCUAUGGGUUGUAAACUUCUUUUAUAUGGGAAUAAAAUGUUCCACGUGUGGGAUUUUGUAUGUACCAUAUGAAUAAGGAUCGGCUAACUCCGUGCCAGCAGCCGCGGUAAUACGGAGGAUCCGAGCGUUAUCCGGAUUUAUUGGGUUUAAAGGGAGCGUAGGUGGAUUGUUAAGUCAGUUGUGAAAGUUUGUGGCUCAACCGUAAAAUUGCAGUUGAAACUGGCAGUCUUGAGUACAGUAGAGGUAGGCGGAAUUCGUGGUGUAGCGGUGAAAUGCUUAGAUAUCACGAAGAACUCCGAUUGCGAAGGCAGUUCACUGGACUGCAACUGACACUGAGGCUCGAAAGUGUGGGUAUCAAACAGGAUUAGAUACCCUUGUAGUC
Molecule: ribosomal RNA, 460 nt
Filed under: uncultured bacterium
Lineage: Bacteria
Description: partial 16S ribosomal RNA
Rfam family: Bacterial small subunit ribosomal RNA
Source: RNAcentral